Molecule: ribosomal RNA, 253 nt
Filed under: uncultured bacterium
Lineage: Bacteria
Description: partial 16S ribosomal RNA
Rfam family: Bacterial small subunit ribosomal RNA
Source: RNAcentral
UACGGAGGGGGCUAGCGUUGUUCGGAAUUACUGGGCGUAAAGCGCGCGUAGGCGGAUCUGCAAGUCGGGGGUGAAAUCCCGAGGCUCAACCUCGGAACUGCCUUCGAUACUGCGGGUCUCGAGUCCGGGAGAGGUGAGUGGAAUUCCUAGUGUAGAGGUGAAAUGCGUAGAUAUCUGGAGGAACACCGGUGGCGAAGGCGGCGUUCUGGACUGCAACUGACACUGAUGAACGAAAGCCAGGGGAGCAAACGGG